CCCAGCAAGGGCCCACGGCUGGGCUCGGCCUUCCCCUCUCCUCUCCAUCCCAGAGGCCAGGCCGCAGGGGCCUGGUGCAGGCCGGCCUUACCAGGAAGGGGAAGAAAAUGUUGACAGGAAAGCAAGAACAUUUCACUUGCAAAAGACCUAGUAUUAACCCAAUGGAGAAGGAAGCUUACUUUCAUUAAUGCCCAUUUAGAAUUUAAACCCUAAGACUGGAUACCAUGGCAACAUCUGGUUAGGAGAAGCCGAAGAGAUAUUUGAAGGUUUGCAAUUGUUAAAGUCAUUGGCCUGUAACAGACAUGUAUUAAUUGCAAGUGAAUAUGACAGCCCAGCCCAGAUUUCUGAGCAAGAAUAAAACAUCAGCUUCAUUGGAGACUUAGGAACUGAACAAGAGAUGAAUAAAAUACCGUGAUGUCUGACUUCAAA
Long non-coding RNA from Passer domesticus (house sparrow), 429 nucleotides. RefSeq lists it as uncharacterized. Lineage: Eukaryota; Metazoa; Chordata; Aves; Passeriformes; Passeridae. The record is from RefSeq and is a predicted model, not a curated record. The transcript is spliced from 3 exons.